CUUAAACAUUCCAUAUUUACACAUUUUUAAUGGAUUUUCUUUUUCUUUUGGUACAAUAAUGAGAUCAGUCUUGAAAUGAAAGAAAAUCUAGAACCUAAUCAAUAUGUAAUAAAAUCUUGUCUUUCAGAGUUAUUUCUUUAAGGGAGAAAUUAUCUAAUCUGAAACAUCAAGUUGAAAUGUUGAUGCAAAGUUCGGAAACCUUAUCUUCAGCUUCAGAACCUACAAGUUUUCUUGAACACAGUGAAAACCUGAAAAUAAUUCCUUCAGAGAAAGCUGAAAUUAAUAUUGCAAAAGUGCAUCUUGAUGAAAAAACAGAAGAAAUGGCUAAAAGGUGUUUAUCUGAAGUCAAAGCUCUGCUCUCUGUUCCAGACCUGUCCUCACCAUUGACUGAGGUAUGCUAUUCUCAUCAAUAGUAAAAAUGUGUUUUCUAAAAUAAAACAAUUGUUCAGUUAGGCUGAAACAUGGAUUUUACUACUAAGUAUCUUGUACCUUUCAAUCUUUUUCUCAUACAUUUCUGGGCUUUUUUAAUUUUUAUUUUUUUUUUUAAUACAAAUGUUCAUGAUUACCAGCUGUGGAUAUCUUCAUUGUUAGAAUCACCUUUUUAUACAAAUAAAUAUGUAUAAAAAAUAAAUCUCACUCACAAUGGAUUUAUCUGGUCUAUCCACCAUUCUCUGAUCUUUGUUUAGAUGGAAUUUACUGUUCCAUUGUAUUUCCACGAUGCAGUUGCCAAAUGCAAUUUUCUUCCAUGCCUGUUAUUUUUGCAGUUAUUCAGGAUUUCCUUCUAUUUUCUUUAGCUUUCUCUGCCUCACAGAUAGUAUGCCAUUUUUUUUUUUGUCCAUGCUGUUGUAUUCCUAUUGGUAUUUAUUUGUAGUCAGUAUCCCAGAGGAGACUAUGGGAACUGGCCCAUAGCAGGCAGCAAUAUUACUCAGUGUUCUCAGGCAUGCUAGCAGGAUCAGGAGCAGUGCUGCCAGGGCUUAAGGAACUCCAAGGAAGAGCUUUGAAUCCAUAACAUAUGACUCCCCC
This 1023-nucleotide long non-coding RNA is filed under the name Anas zonorhyncha (Eastern spot-billed duck). RNAcentral describes it as "lncRNA (ENSAZOG00000000583.1)". Lineage: Eukaryota; Metazoa; Chordata; Aves; Anseriformes; Anatidae. The record is from RNAcentral.